UGGAUGUUUCCUUCUGCCUUCUUCAACCAUUCUCCUCUUCACUUUUUUGUCAUAUAUAUAAAUGCAUGCAAGAAUACCUCAACUUUUAUAUCCACCAACUAAUUCUAUCCUGUUCCUGUUCCAAAGAUGAAUGAUCCCAAGUAUGGUUAUCCCUAUCCGGCCACAGGGAGUUAUCAAGGGCCUCAAGUAGUGAUGGCACCUCCACAGUAUUAUGCAGCUCCACCACCACCACCACCUAAGAGAGAACCGAGUUUUGUCGACGGAUUCCUUGCAGCUUUGUGUUGCUGCUGUCUCUUGGAUGAUUGCUGCUGCGAUCCCUCUAUCUUGUUCGUUGCCUAAAUGCAGAUGCAGUUUUUCUUUUACUAUGUCUAUAUACAACAUGUUGCUUAAUUAACAUGUUGAUGUUGUAGACUUUAAAUUCUCUGAGGAGAGUGAUUGAUUAUCUUAUCGAGUUCAUGUAUUAAAUUUGCAGUACUGUACAAUAAGGCACCAAGCUUCUUCAAAACUUUUAUA
Molecule: long non-coding RNA, 513 nt
Organism: Pistacia vera
Lineage: Eukaryota; Viridiplantae; Streptophyta; Magnoliopsida; Sapindales; Anacardiaceae
Exons: 3
Source: RefSeq, a predicted model, not a curated record